RNAcentral lists this transfer RNA (66 nucleotides) under Pteropus alecto (black flying fox). It matches the Rfam family "tRNA". From Rfam's summary of the family: Transfer RNA (tRNA) molecules are approximately 80 nucleotides in length. Their secondary structure includes four short double-helical elements and three loops (D, anti-codon, and T loops). The record is from Rfam by way of RNAcentral. Lineage: Eukaryota; Metazoa; Chordata; Mammalia; Chiroptera; Pteropodidae.
UCCAUUGUGUAGCAGUUAGCACAUCUGUUUUACACACAGAAUAUCCUGGGUUCACACCCCAGUGGA